This 913-nucleotide non-coding RNA is filed under the name Synapturanus sp. AF238. Its description in RNAcentral is "12S ribosomal RNA". It matches the Rfam family "Bacterial small subunit ribosomal RNA". Lineage: Eukaryota; Metazoa; Chordata; Amphibia; Anura; Microhylidae. The record is from RNAcentral.
UAAAGGUUUGGUCCUAGCCUUACUAUCAAUUUUUACUUAACUUACACAUGCAAGUAUCCGCACACCAGUGAGAACACCCACUCGACCAACAGGGACAAGGAGCCGGUAUCAGGCAAAAGCCAACGACACCUAGCCACGCCACACCCACAAGGGCCUCAGCAGUGAUAAAUAUUGACUAUGAGCGACCAGCUCGAACCAGUUAAAGUAAACAGAGCCGGCUAAUCCAGUGCCAGCCGCCGCGGUUACACUACUGACUCAAAUUGAUACAAUCGGCGUUAAGAGUGACAAAAGCAAUAAAAAAUUAGAACUGAACCACAACCAAGUUGUGACACACUUGUUUUGAGAACCCCUAAACGAAAGUUUUUCUAAUUACCCACUUGAUGCACGACAACUGAGUAACAAACUAGGAUUAGAUACCCUACUAUGCCCAGUCGUAAAAUAUUAACUCACACCCAACCCGCCAGAGAAAUACAAGCCCAGCUCAAAACUCAAAGGACUUGACGGUGUCCCACCCACCUAGAGGAGCCCGUUCUAUAAUCGACAACCCCCGAUCCACCCAACCCCCCCUAGCCACUCAGCCUGUAUACCUCCGUCGUAAGCUAACCCCAUGAGGAACUUAGUAAGCCUAAUAACUAUGCAUUAGCACGUCAGGUCAAGGUGCAGCCCAUGGAGGGGCAAGCAAUUGGCUACAAUCUCCAACUGAACAAACGAAAAACUGUAUGAAACUCAGUCAUGAAGGCGGAUUUAGCAGUAAAAAGAAAAUAAAAUAUUCUUUUUAACAAGGCCCUGGGAUACGUACACACCGCCCGUCGCCCUCUUCUAACUCAAAUUUCCUAUAAAUCAGACCAGACUAACCAUCAGAAGAGGCAAGUCGUAACACGGUAAGUGUACCGGAAGGUGCACUUGGUUAAGG